This 425-nucleotide ribosomal RNA is filed under the name uncultured bacterium. Its description in RNAcentral is "bacterial SSU rRNA". It matches the Rfam family "Bacterial small subunit ribosomal RNA", at positions 355 to 787 of the family's 1533-position model. The record is from RNAcentral.
UGGGGAAUAUUGGGCAAUGGGCGAAAGCCUGACCCAGCAACGCCGCGUGAAGGAAGAAGGUCUUCGGAUUGUAAACUUCUUUUAUGAGGGACGAAGGACGUGACGGUACCUCAUGAAUAAGCCACGGCUAACUACGUGCCAGCAGCCGCGGUAAUACGUAGGUGGCAAGCGUUAUCCGGAUUUACUGGGUGUAAAGGGCGCGUAGGCGGGGAUGCAAGUCAGAUGUGAAAUCUAUGGGCUUAACUCAUAAACUGCAUUUGAAACUGUAUCUCUUGAGUGCUGGAGAGGUAGACGGAAUUCCUUGUGUAGCGGUGAAAUGCGUAGAUAUAAGGAAGAACACCAGUGGCGAAGGCGGUCUACUGGACAGUAAACUGACGCUGAGGCGCGAAAGACGUGGGGAGGCAAACAAGGAAGUUAGGAUAACC